AGAUUCCUCAUGGAAAUUAAAGAAUGUGGACAGGAUCAUACCUGAAUUCCUCUGCCACGCAGAGUUAGCACCUCAACAUGUUCAAGAGACCUGAACAUCCUUGCCUGAGUGUCCCGGUGCCAGUGGUCCCAAUAGUCCUGGUAGGAGCGCAUGUAAACCUUGUUCAAGGAGGAGAUGUCAAACAGCAGAAAUAUUUUCUACAAAAAAAAAA
This 211-nucleotide long non-coding RNA is filed under the name Elaeis guineensis (African oil palm). Its description in RNAcentral is "long non-coding RNA (EGUI_LNC002764)". Lineage: Eukaryota; Viridiplantae; Streptophyta; Magnoliopsida; Arecales; Arecaceae. The record is from RNAcentral.